UGUAAACAAUCGGUGUUGGUUUGGUGUGU
RNAcentral lists this non-coding RNA (29 nucleotides) under Rattus norvegicus (Norway rat). Lineage: Eukaryota; Metazoa; Chordata; Mammalia; Rodentia; Muridae. The record is from RNAcentral.